AGGUAAACGGGUGGAGUUGAACUGCGAGCUCUGGGAAUUCAGCUGGUGAGCGUGGCUUGAGCUUGGUUAAAUUGGUUGGACCUCGGAGUCUGCGUAGCAGCAGGCCUUCGCCUUUCGGGGUGGGGGUGCGCGAUGCACUUGUCAAGUGUUGUGCGCUCUGGGUGUUUCAUCGGACCAGUUCGCCAGUGCACUUUCUCGGAGUGUUCACCACGACGGGCAUUGCUGUCUGGCUGUUGCGGUUAAACCGGUUCGACAUUGUCCUUGUGGCUUUGCCGGGUCGGGAUGGCAGGUAACUCGUUGGCUUGCUUGUGGCUUGCUGCAGGCGUUUGGCUUUCGAGUGUAAUCAGCUGACUGCAUCGGUUCUGUGCGGUAUGUCUGGGACGGCGGCUUUUGUGUGUGCGUGCGUACCUGUUCGGUCGUCGCAUUCGGGUUCGGUUGUUCUGUAGCCUGUGAAGGCAGGCCUGAUGAUAGCCCGGGUGUGUUCGGUUGGCGGUGGCGUGCGUGUCACGUUUCUUGGGCCAAUAGUCUGUGGUGUUGUGGUAGACUAUCCACCUGACCCGUCUUGAAACACGGACC
Molecule: ribosomal RNA, 576 nt
Filed under: Maritrema novaezealandense
Lineage: Eukaryota; Metazoa; Platyhelminthes; Trematoda; Plagiorchiida; Microphallidae
Description: partial large subunit ribosomal RNA
Source: RNAcentral